This 27-nucleotide transfer RNA is filed under the name Anthoscopus musculus (mouse-colored penduline-tit). RNAcentral describes it as "partial tRNA-Trp". The record is from RNAcentral. Lineage: Eukaryota; Metazoa; Chordata; Aves; Passeriformes; Paridae.
GAAACUUAGGAUUACUACAAACCGAAG